Scophthalmus maximus (turbot) is the source of this 1222-nucleotide long non-coding RNA. RefSeq lists it as uncharacterized. Lineage: Eukaryota; Metazoa; Chordata; Actinopteri; Pleuronectiformes; Scophthalmidae. The record is from RefSeq and is a predicted model, not a curated record. The transcript is spliced from 2 exons.
UCUGAUGUGGUCCGGUGAAGACGAAGAAGAAGUAGGAGGAGAAGAGGAUGUUGGAUUUAUAGUGUGGCGUCGCCCCUCGGGGCAGAACAGUGUUGACAUCAGAAGAAACGACCCUCCUGCUGGAUAACGGUCAGAACAUAAAGUUGAAGUGCCGAGGUCACUGGAGCAGAUGGAGCUCGGCUCAACAUCCAGAUGUUUCUGAGCAGCUGCUUGUUUCUCUCUCUUUGUACGGAAGAAAAACUUCACAAACAAAGUGGCAAGUAUUAAGAAAGAGGAGGACGCGUGGCGGGCUGCGACGUACCGAGCACCCAGGGCAGGAUCAUCCACUCCACGAUGGUGGGCGGCGGCCCCUGCAUGUGCAGGUUGGUGCGGGCGAUGUGCUGCGACGCCAGCAGCAGCAGGAAGAGGAAGGUCAGCUCGAGCGUUGCCGUCGUUUCCUAGCAAUACUUCCUGCAGCCAAUAAACAAAGAGAUUUGCUUAAUCGCUGCCUGGCAACAGAUUUAAUUUGAACAGUUGAGUUGCGGGAGCUUCCUGUUUCCCCCCUCCCUCCCUCGUUCCUCCGCCUCACCAGUGAGAAGAAGGGGAACAGGAGUCCGAUGAUGACGCACGUGACCAGUUUGACGGCCCAGUGUCGCCUCCUCCAGCCCGGGAAGCCGUCGUACCACAGCGUGGCGAGCAGCUGCUGGCAGUUCGGCUGAGCCACGAACUGAGGACAGAGGGAAAAGAAGAAGGGACCAAGAGUCAGGAAGCCGUGGUUUGUUGGUCUUUCUCCUGAAGGUGGAACUGUUUAUUACAAUUUUCACCGUGAGAAAACUGAGAAACUCACGACGAGAAUCUCGACCUCGUGAUUCUACGUCUCCCGGGAAACAUGGUCACGUGAGUUAUGACUUUGGAUAAAGGAAAUAAAAGUGUUUCUGCAAAACAUUAUGACGUUGAACUUUGACCUUUUGGAUAUGAAAUGUGGUCACUUCAUCAUUUCAUGUGUCUGAAAGCUCUGGUGACCUUGACCUUUGACUGCAAAGAUAAAAUCAGGUCACCCACUGAGUCCGUUUGCCACUCGGCGGCCAUCUUGGCUCCUGCAUGGGAUUACAGACACCAGGCUCGGAUGCAUUUGAGUUUGUUUGCUCCUGUAGCUCGAGUUAUCGUCUCAUGACACUUGGGAGAUUUUCAUUUCACAUUUCUCACGGCUGCGUCAUCAAUAAAUACAAUCAACUGAUCUAAA